CGAAAUGCGAUAAGUAAUGUGAAUUGCAGAAUUCAGUGAAUCAUCGAAUCUUUGAACGCACCUUGCGCUCCUUGGUAUUCCUUGGAGCAUGCCUGUUUGAGUAUCAUGAAAUCUUCAAAGUAAAUCUUUUGUUAACUCAAUUGUUUUCUACUUUGGUAUUGGAGGUCUUUGCAGCUUCACACCUGCUCCUCUUUGUUCAUUAGCUGGAUCUCAGUGUUAUGCUUGGUUCCACUCGGCGUGAUAAGUUAUCUAUCGCUGAGGACACUGUAAAAGGUGGCCAAGGUAAAUGCAGAUGAACCGCUUCUAAUAGUCCAUUGACUUGGACAAUACUUUUAUGAUCUGAUCUCAAAUCAGGUAGGACUACCCGCUGAACUUAAGC
RNAcentral lists this unclassified non-coding RNA (379 nucleotides) under plant metagenome. RNAcentral's name for it is "partial contains 5.8S ribosomal RNA, internal transcribed spacer 2, and large subunit ribosomal RNA". The stretch from base 1 to 106 matches the Rfam family "5.8S ribosomal RNA", at positions 49 to 154 of the family's 154-position model. The record is from RNAcentral.